UACGUAGGGUGCGAGCGUUAAUCGGAAUUACUGGGCGUAAAGCGUGCGCAGGCGGUUGGGUAAGUCUGAUGUGAAAGCCCCGGGCUCAACUUGGGAACUGCAUUGGAAACUGGCCAGCUGGAGUGUGGCAGAGGGGGGUGGAAUUCCGCGCGUAGCAGUGAAAUGCGUAGAUAUGCGGAGGAACACCGAUGGCGAAGGCAAUCCCCUGGGCCUGCACUGACGCUCAUGCACGAAAGCGUGGGGAGCAAACAGG
RNAcentral lists this ribosomal RNA (253 nucleotides) under uncultured bacterium. RNAcentral describes it as "partial 16S ribosomal RNA". It matches the Rfam family "Bacterial small subunit ribosomal RNA", at positions 524 to 776 of the family's 1533-position model. The record is from RNAcentral.